RNAcentral lists this small RNA (4038 nucleotides) under Arabidopsis thaliana (thale cress). RNAcentral's name for it is "ATSL166250". Lineage: Eukaryota; Viridiplantae; Streptophyta; Magnoliopsida; Brassicales; Brassicaceae. The record is from RNAcentral.
UUUUUUGUCAAACAAGCCUUGUAUUUCAUUCAAUGCAUCUCCUAAAGGUAAAGUUUACAAGAUCUUCAAGCAUACAAAGGGUUACAAAAAACUCCGAAUAACGAAAGCUAACAAUAAGGAAAAAAAGAUAGGUUUGAUAAGCCAAUGAGGAACGGAGAUGAUAAUAGGUUUUUUAAGAUCAAUUAAACCUAAAGCACUAAUUCAUAUCCAAGGAGACGGGAUCAUAAUGCCAUUAUUCAUCAAACUUUUACUUUCAAGAAUAGUACCCAUGAUGUAGCUAAAUAUAUCAAGUAUGAAAUCAAUAAUAAAAUGAAUCGGAGAUGAAAACUUGAAGAAACUACGGUAAUCACUGCUCCUUGGAGACGGGAUCAUCAUGCCGAUCUUCUUCAAGGAAUUAGCAACAUGAAUAGUACACCUAUAGAUUCUAAUGGCAAGGUUCUCAAAGGAUUUUUGUACCAACAUAGCAGCAAUGUUCGAUUAUGAUUCAAUUGAUGUCCAUUAGCAAUUGGUAUCAUGAAUCGACGCAAAUAAAAGCUAAGAGAAGACAAAAAGGAGUUUGGGUCAAACCUAUGAUUUUGCGGAGACCGUUUGGAGGGGCUGGGCCAAUCCAUUAGUGGAGAUGGGCAAUUGUUUUGGGGGAUGGGCCUAAAUUUGGUUAAUGGGCUCGAAGAACAGUGGCCCAUUAAGAGGAACCCUAACAAGGCAACAGUGUGGCAGAGGAUGGUGAUGGUGCGGCGGAUCUGAGGCGGCAGAUAAGAACUCCGAUAAACGCUAAAUGAUGCUGGUGGGAAUAAGGUCAACGUAGAUGAGAUACUGAUAAGUGUGUAUUUUGCAUGUUUUGAGCAUCCAUUUGUCAUCAUUUUAGCAUCAUAUCAUCACUGUUUUAUAUCAUUUCUCAUCAUUUAUCAUCACUUUACAUGUUUAGGAUAGGUUUGCAUGCAUGUUGCAUAUUUGUGUUGAUUUCAGGUGAUUUGGAGCUGUUGACGAGCUAACUGGAAGAAGCGGACCUGAUCAUGACAAACCACUCGACCCAGAGGUCGAGUAGGAGCUUCAAGAUCUCAACAGACCACUCGACCCCCAGGUCGAGUAGAAGACAUCACCACUUCACCUCACCACUCGGCCACAAGGUCGAGUGUCCUCAUCUCCAUCACCUGACCAUCACUCGACCACAUCACUCGACCCUGAGGUCGAGUGUCUUUACCACCAUUACCUAAUCAUCACUCGACCCCAUCACUCUACCUGGAAGUCGAGUAUCACCAUCACCACCACUCGACUACACACUCGAUGGCAAGCUUCAGAGUCUUCUUCAUUCCGCACUCAACCAGACACUCGAGCACAAGGAAGAAAAGAAGACUCCAGCUAUUCACUCGAUCCCCACUCGACCACAUGAGUCGAGUACAAUUCUUAAUCCGUCCCAAUACUGCAUCGUUUUAAGUAUUAGGGUUUCGGAAUAUUUGGCUAUAAGUAGCAUGUACUUCACAUUUUCGCAAACAAGUUUUUUAUUUAGUUUUAUUCCGCAGACCUUGUGUUCUAGACCUUUUGUAAUCCGGAUUUCUCUUUAUCUAUUCAAUAUUCAGUAUUCAGUAUUCAGUAUUCAGCUUUUGGUCUUGCUUUCGUUUACUGUUGUUCAUUCUGUUAUCACCCUUCUAUUACACUGUUGUUAUCAUGUUUUUAGCUUGUUCAACGUUUAUGCUUUCUGUUCUGAUGUCUGAGUAGUGAAUAGGUUUCUGAGGAUGGGUUAGAAUAGUGUAGAAUUCUCAGUAUGCUAGGUGAUUGAGUAUUGAUUGAUAGAUCCCUUAUGGAUUAGUUGUUCUUAAUGCCUAUUGCUUUCUGAUCAACUGGAAUUUGAGCCCAGACAUUUCCGCGCCCAAAAGGUGUUCGAUGAAAUGUCUGAACCACUAAUUCUAGAGACUUGUGGCCCUGUACCAAGGUAUUGGUUGCAGGGAGCGUUUUGGCUUUAACUUGUUGAUUCGUAAUGCCUGUUAGGUUAGCUCUCGUCAAUGGUGAUUGAGUCUGGGACUAGGUUAACUUGAGAGUCUCUAUUGCGGUGGCACUUAGAUUUGGUUAAUGAACUUGUUGUCUAGGGUUAAUUUAUUGAGCAUGUCAAUCACCUGUAAACUGAGGAAACGAAACUACUCAAUUACCCCAUCCUCGGGAAUUCUUUAUCUGAUUGAAUUUUUUGUUUACUCUACUGUUGUUUACUGCAUCUUGUUAUCUGUCGCUUAAUUUCUGCGGUUCUUUCUUGUUACUCAACCUCAUACUCGACCACCAAGUUGUCUGGCAACAGACUGUGCAGUCAAGUAUCUGUGUUUUAUUUUCUGUGUGUUACUCCUCACCUAGUGCUCUGCAAAGAGCUGUGUUGGUCGAGUGUUUUACUGUUUCUGCUUGAAUUUCUAUUUUCUGCAUGUUCACUUAGAAUUGCUAGAACACACCACAACCUGUUAUUGCUUGGCUUGACUUAGGGACUUUUGAUCACAUCUUAAUUGUUAGCAUCACACCCAUUUGGAUUGACAACCUUCAGUACUACAACGACAUGAUAGUGCUUUAGGUUUAAUUGACUGAAAAAUCUAUUAUCAAUUUGGCGCCGUUGCCAAUUGGGUGUCUGUUUUUUACAUUUGACAUUUCAGACUUGCUUAGAUCAAGUUCUUUUUCAAAUUUUCUUUUCGGUUACUAACUUUGUGUCUUUCUUGUUGUCUUCUUGAUCCAGGUACACCUCUACUGUAUGCGAACUCGAUCAACAGGCAAUCAGAACCUCCUUUUCAACGACAACAUUGACCGCAUAGCUCGCGAGCUUAGAGAAAGGUGAAACACAGUCAACCCUGUACCUCAGCAACCACUCGAAAUGGCUGACGAACAGAAUCAACAAAAUGGCCCUGCCAACAUUGGUGCUGGAGAUGCACCACGUGAUCAUCGUCAGAGGAAAGGAAUUGCACCUCCUGCUAUCCAGAACAACAACUUCGAGAUUAAGAGUGGUCUCAUCUCCAUGAUUCAGGGGAACAAAUUCCAUGGUCUGCCAAUGGAGGAUCCACUCGACCACCUUGAUGAAUUCGAUUGGCUCUACAACCUGACAAAGAUCAAUGGUGUCAGUGAAGACGGAUUCAAGCUCCGUCUGUUCCCAUUCUCCUUGGGCGACAAAGCACACAUCUGGGAGAAGAAUCUGCCCCAUGAUUCAAUCACCACCUGGGAUGAUUGCAAGAAGGCUUUUCUAUCAAAGUUCUUCUCCAAUGCCAGAACUGCAAGACUCAGAAAUGAGAUCUCUGGUUUCUCACAGAAGACUGCUGAAAGCUUCUGUGAAGCAUGGGAGCGUUUCAAGGAUUACACCAACCAAUGCCCUCAUCAUGGCUUUACUAAAGCCUCUCUGCUCAGCACUCUUUAUAGAGGAGUCCUACCACGCAUCAGAAUGCUUCUGGAUACCGCCAGCAAUGAAAAUUUCCAGAACAAGGAUGUUGAAGAAGGCUAGGAUUUGGUAGAGAACCUUGCUCAAUCAGAUGGCAAUUACAACGAGGACUGUGAUAGGACCGUCAGAGGCACAGCUGACUCUGAUGACAAACACAGGAAGGAGAUCAAAGCGCGGAUCACUCGACCAGUCACUCGAGCAACCACUCAACCAGUCACUCGAGCAACCACUCGACCAGUCACUCGACCAGUCACUCGAGCAACCACUCGAUCUGCCACUUGACAACGUUACUCGACCAACAACUCGACCUAUCUUCCCAGCAGCAUCACCAACUGCUCCAAAACCAGUUGCUGUUAAAAACAAAGAAAAGGUCUUUGUCCCUCCUCCCUACAAACCACAGCUUCCAUUUCCUGGCCGUCACAAGAAAGCGUUGGCAGAUAAAUAUAGAGCUAUGUUUGCCAAGAAUAUUAAGGAGGUUGAGUUGCGGAUACCUCUUGUUGACGCUCUAGCGCUAAUCCCAGACUCUCACAAGUUUCUGAAAGACUUGAUCGUGGAGAGAAUUCAAGAAGUGCAAGGUAUGGUGGUAUUGAGUCAUGAAUGCAGUGCUAUCAUACAAAAGAAGAUCAUUCCUAAGAAGCUUU